CUUCUUCGUCGCUCUUUAUUCUCGUUCUGUUGACAGCUCACAGGAAGUCCUAAACAGCUCCCUGUUUUUCUCGGUUUUUCUUCAAGAAAAAAAUAGCCUUUUCUUCUAUUUUUAACUGAAAAACAAAGACUGUUACCCCUUUGGACCAGCGAUAGAUGACAGGAAUGGAGGAGUAUCCUAACGGCAACGAGGGUUCCUUCAACUCUGAAGAAGCUGAUGGCCUUGUCAAAGAGUGUAUCGAGGCGGUCGUUGGCGGUGACGACUACAGCCUGAAUCAUGUGAACAAAUGGACCGCCAGCAUCGUGGAGCGCUGCCUCACGCAGCUGGUCAAACAGGGGAAACCAUACAAGUACAUCGUGACGUGUGCUGUGAUGCAGAAAACAGGAGCCGGCCUCCACACAGCUAACUCCUGCUACUGGGACACUGCCGUGGACGGAAGCUGCACUGUGAGAUGGGAAAACCGCACCAUGUACUGUGUAGUCAGUGUGUUUGCUGUGGCUAUCCCAUGAGAGCCACACACACACACACAUACACACACACACACACCUUGGUGAUGACAACUUUCUGGUGGGAGCGAUAGAGUCGGACGAGCCUCUCACACACAUAGAGGAUCAUGGGGCCCACCACCCACUUCCACGUCUGCAGAAAAGCCGUGGAAAACCAGUCCAAUGAAGAAGAUGACGAAGAGGUGGUGUGUGUACCAGAAGACCUCGAAGUAGGACCUGCGGAUCACCUCCAUGGAUGAAGUGAUGAUGAGGAUGAGGGCCAGCGUGAUGACCACGCCCGUCAGACCGGCGAUGGUGGUGAACAUGACGAUGGUAGGGCUCUGCGUACAAACACACAGCACACAGGGUUUAGUCGCGGCGUGGGUCCAGGUCACAGGGUCAGCGCCUCCAACGCCCUGCAGGUCAGGUUUGUUGACUAACUUCCCUCAUGUACCAAUGUCUGUUUUGUCAUAGUUCCUCUCCAUGCUCACACCGACUGUGGGCACGUACUCUCUGCUGCUUCUGUAGGAAGUACGAAGGUAGUUUGGAGGCUAAAGAGUGACUGUUGAAGUUAACAUCACGGGGGUUGUGGAGUUGUUAUAUUAUAGAAAAUAAACGGAUUCGGUCAUUUCUUCAGUA
This is an RNA transcript of Sander lucioperca (pikeperch), 1124 nucleotides long. It is a transcript of the gene named dynein light chain Tctex-type 1-like, with no coding region annotated. The transcript has 7 exons. The record is from RefSeq and is a predicted model, not a curated record. NCBI's taxonomy places the organism in Eukaryota, Metazoa, Chordata, Actinopteri, Perciformes, Percidae.